This is a long non-coding RNA of Ictalurus punctatus (channel catfish), 1418 nucleotides long. Lineage: Eukaryota; Metazoa; Chordata; Actinopteri; Siluriformes; Ictaluridae. The record is from Ensembl.
UAUAUAUAUAUAUAUAUAUAUAUAUAAAUAAAAUGAUGAAAUACAAGAAAUAAAAACAAAACUUUUGCAUAUCUGAGAUUUUUUACCCACUAUAGAAACGCAAAUCCAGUGUGACUAUACUGUAAUUAAUAUACUGAAUUUAUGUUACAUAUUAUUACAACAUUAAAAAAAAAAAAAGAGAGAGAAAGACAAAAAGUAAUGGACAUAAUGUUGAUUACUACAUAACUCUGUUACUAAAAAAAAAAAUAAACAAUCACACUGCAUUCUCACUAGAACAUUAGAAGCAGUUGAGUGUAUAUGAAGACAUUAGAAUAUAAUAUUAUUUACAGUGCAUAGUCUGAAGCUGCCUAUUGUAUUUACCGGUAAGAGCACUGGGCAGGAAAAAAUGCUGCUGUGUAAAACUCCCAUUGGUUUUGAUCAAUAAUCUACACCUUUCCCACUCUUAUUCCAGUUUAAAAUGAUCAAUAUUGAUUACAUUUCAGACGUUCUGUUAGUUAAGUAAAUAUCUAGGAUUAGAAAAAUACAUUUGUCGUCACAUAUUCGUAGUGUCAUUUCAUCGUGGUCAUCCAGUAGGCAUCAUAUGCAUGCUUCAUGACGUAUUUCAUGCUUCUCCCUUGACAGUCUACUAUGGCUUAGUUUAUUGCUUGAAAAUAUUGCAUACAGGUCUUGCGAAUCUGUAGUACACGUUAUUAACUCUAAGAGCAGAAAAAAAGGAGCAAAAUUCUAGCUAGAAAACAGUGCUAAAUUGAAAGGUUUACAUAAAGGUAGAAGACGCUUUGCCUUUGUAAGACAUGUAUGCUUUUUUUAUACAGAAAAACACAACUUUGGAAUGGAAAGUUGCUAAAACGAUAAAGAGAUUUUAAAAAAAUAAAAUAAACAGAAAGUCAGGAAAAGGCCAUGACAUCCACAAAUGUGUUUAUAAAUGGAUAAGAAAUCUAACGAAAUUAAUAACACUUACAAGUAGUAAAACAGUUUUUUUUUUUUUUUUUUUACAUUUAUAUUGACAAUUAUUUUUUUAUUUACCAUUUGAACACAGUUGUGUUUUUGAAGGCAAUAUGUUUUUGUUUUCUUUUAACAAAGAAAUAAUUACUUCAUAAUUAAACCAUAUACCAUUAUAAUCCAGUGUUUCUGAGACAGUAGACACUGAGUGGGUUUGUUCCAGUGUGUUUAUGCAGUGUGUUCCAGUUUCUUUUUUUUAUUUAAAUUAAAUCCAGUGAUUUCCUUUAAGGUCCAGUGAUUCAUUAUAUACUAUAAUAGCAUGGAUUCAGUGGCUCAUACUUACCAUAAAAGUAGCAAUAAUAAUAAUAAUAAUAAUAAUAAUAAUAAUAAUAAUAAUAAUCAUCAUCAUCAUCAUAAUAAUAAUAAUACUUAUUAUUAUUAUUAUUAUUAUUAUUAUUAUUAUUAUUGUUGUUGUUGUU